GACGAACGCUGGCGGCGUGCUUAAUACAUGCAAGUCGAACGAUGCAUCUCAUUCGGAAAUGGAUUAGUCGCGAACGGGUGAGGAACAAUUGAGGAACAUGUCUUUCAUUUGGGGAUAACUCCGGGAAACCGGGGCAAAAGCCGAACACUCCGUCGCGGCCGCAUCGAUAACCCGGGCAAACAGUUUGAAGAAAGAUGGUCUCGCGGCCUAUGAGCUAGUUGGUGAGGUAAGGGCACACCAAGGCAACGACGGGUAGCCAGCCCGAGAGGGCGAACGGCCACACUGGGACUGAGACACGGCCCAGACUCCUACGGGAGGCAGCAGUGGGGAAUAUUGGGCAAUGGGCGCAAGCCUGACCCAGCGACGCCGCGUGAGGGAUGAAGGCCUUCGGGUUGUAAACCUCUUACAGUAGGGAAGAAGCGAAAGUGACGGUACCUAAAGAAGAAGCACCGGCUAACUAUGUGCCAGCCGCCGCAGUAA
RNAcentral lists this ribosomal RNA (480 nucleotides) under uncultured bacterium. RNAcentral describes it as "partial 16S ribosomal RNA". It matches the Rfam family "Bacterial small subunit ribosomal RNA", at positions 28 to 523 of the family's 1533-position model. The record is from RNAcentral.